RNAcentral lists this ribosomal RNA (472 nucleotides) under uncultured bacterium. RNAcentral describes it as "bacterial SSU rRNA". It matches the Rfam family "Bacterial small subunit ribosomal RNA", at positions 355 to 825 of the family's 1533-position model. The record is from RNAcentral.
UGGGGAAUAUUGGACAAUGGGCGCAAGCCUGAUCCAGCCAUGCCGCGUGUGUGAAGAAGGUCUUCGGAUUGUAAAGCACUUUAAGUUGGGAGGAAGGGCCAUUACCUAAUACGUGAUGGUUUUGACGUUACCGACAGAAUAAGCACCGGCUAACUCUGUGCCAGCAGCCGCGGUAAUACAGAGGGUGCAAGCGUUAAUCGGAAUUACUGGGCGUAAAGCGCGCGUAGGUGGUUUGUUAAGUUGGAUGUGAAAUCCCCGGGCUCAACCUGGGAACUGCAUUCAAAACUGACAAGCUAGAGUAUGGUAGAGGGUGGUGGAAUUUCCUGUGUAGCGGUGAAAUGCGUAGAUAUAGGAAGGAACACCAGUGGCGAAGGCGACCACCUGGACUGAUACUGACACUGAGGUGCGAAAGCGUGGGGAGCAAACAGGAUUAGAUACCCAAGUAGUCCCUGAGCGGGCUGGCAAGGCGCAU